UACGUAGGGGGCAAGCGUUGUCCGGAAUCAUUGGGCGUAAAGAGCGUGUAGGCGGCUUGGUAGGUCUCGCGUCAAAACCUGCGGCUCAACCGCAGUUCGCGUGGGAAACCACCUAGCUAGAGUCCGGAAGAGGAGAACGGAAUUCCCAGUGUAGCGGUGAAAUGCGCAGAUAUUGGGAAGAACACCAGUGGCGAAGGCGGUUCUCUGGGACGGUACUGACGCUGAGACGCGAAAGCGUGGGGAGCGAACAGG
RNAcentral lists this ribosomal RNA (252 nucleotides) under uncultured bacterium. Its description in RNAcentral is "partial 16S ribosomal RNA". It matches the Rfam family "Bacterial small subunit ribosomal RNA", at positions 524 to 776 of the family's 1533-position model. The record is from RNAcentral.